RNAcentral lists this long non-coding RNA (1470 nucleotides) under Ovis aries (sheep). RNAcentral describes it as "lncRNA (ENSOARG00000026088.1)". Lineage: Eukaryota; Metazoa; Chordata; Mammalia; Artiodactyla; Bovidae. The record is from RNAcentral.
AUGUCAAAUCUCUGUGCUCUCCCCCUCCCUUUUCUCUCCCUACCCUCCCACCUUUGUUCCUGUGACUUCACUGUUAGAACUCCACAGCUGGAACUUCCCUCAAACCUUCCAUUCGGUGUCUACUCAUCCUGCGCUCUCUCGGCAGCUUUUACUAAAGAGCCUGAUGACUUCAUGAUUCAUGCCCUGAUGUCAUCUAGCCCCGGUCAAAACAAAGGUGUCUUUUUACAUACAUACACCAUUUUCACCUUCAACACCAGUUCCAACAUGCUAUGUCCAGGGAGACUUAAAAUAACGAAACUAUUACAUCAUCUGUGUUUAGCAAGCGUUUCGCUGACCGCAGAAUUAUCAGCAUCAUGCCCAUGCUACAGAUGGGAACGCGUGUGCUUGUAUUACGCAUCUUGGCCUCUGUUCUUUACAUUUGGAACAGCCAGGGGACGCCUUCAUGGCUCAUUUUUGGGCUUACUUCCCGUGGGAUUUCCUAACCUCAUCCCUCUGAGUCUCAUUCCUCAAGCUGGCUUCAUUCAAGCUAAAGGAUUCUCAGGCGGACCACUCCUCCCAGGCAAAGGCACGGAUGUGCGUUUUCAGAAGGCCCUUCAAAGUCUUAACACAAGGAGGACUGUCACAGCGAGUCGGAUGAUGUGUCUGCCAGCUGCUCACAAGUAGGGGCACAUCUGGUGUGAGAACUUGAGCAGUAGGAACCUACAGGACGCCAGGCCGGGAAGCGGGGGGCAGAGUGCCCACUAGUGGGCGGACCACGGUGAAGCAAGGUAACGCCGAAUCACACUAAUACGAUGCCAUUACGGGCUGGAUGGACGCGAGUCUGAGUGAACUCCGGGAGACGGUGAUGGAAAGGGAGGCCUGGCGUGCUGCGAUUCAUGGGGUCGCAAAGAGUUGGACAAGAGGACAAGACUGAGCGACUGAACUGAGCUGAACUGAGCCAAGAGAGAGGAGCGUAACACGCUCAAGAGUUAAUGGUAGAGAAAUGGAAAGACUCCUUCUGUUUAAGAGUGGAGCAAAGGCCUAUAAGGCCAGGAGGAAAUACCCAACUAGAAAGUGAAAGGGUAACCAACAAAAACCUAUUCUAAAGCACAUGGAACUCUACUCAAUGUCAUGUGCCAGCCUGGAUGGGAGCGGGGUUUGGGGGAGAACGGAUACAUGCAUACGUGUGGCUGAGUCACUUCACUGUUCACCUGAAACUAUCACAUCAUUGUUAAUAAGCUAUACCCCCAUACAAAAUUUUUUGUGUGUGUUAAAAAAAAUAAAGUUAAUAAAAAGAAAGUAAAAGGGUACCGGGGAUAGUGUCCCCUACGUUGGUGACUGCAAGACUAAAAACACAAGUGCUAUUUCCUCUCUUGUUGCUCCCAAACUACCUCAUCUUACAUUCUUGCCAAAGGCAACUUCAUUCCUUCUGGGUCCCGCAUGCAUUGUCCUGGUCCAUUACACAACCUUGUUGUUGAUUGUUGAUUUUGC